CCUAGAGAUGGAUUGGUGCCUUCGGGAACGUCUGACACAGGUGCUGCAUGGCUGUCGUCAGGCUCGUGUCGUGAGAUGUUGGGUUAAGUCCCAUAACGAGCGCAACCCUUGCCUUUAGUUGCCAGCAGUUCGGCUGGGCACUCUAAAGGGACUGCCGGUGUUAAACCGGAGGAAGGUGGGGAUGACGUCAAGUCCUCAUGGCCUUUAUGACCAGGGCUACACACGUACUACAAUGGCCGAUACAAAGGGCAGCGACACUGCGAGGUGAAGCCAAUCCCGUAAAAUCGGUCUCAGUCCGGAUUGGAGUCUGCAACUCGACUCCAUGAAGUUGGAAUCGCUAGUAAUCGUGGAUCAGCAUGCCACGGUGAAUACGUUCCCGGGCCUU
This 385-nucleotide ribosomal RNA is filed under the name uncultured Desulfobulbus sp. RNAcentral describes it as "bacterial SSU rRNA". It matches the Rfam family "Bacterial small subunit ribosomal RNA", at positions 999 to 1382 of the family's 1533-position model. Lineage: Bacteria; Pseudomonadati; Thermodesulfobacteriota; Desulfobulbia; Desulfobulbales; Desulfobulbaceae. The record is from RNAcentral.